This is a long non-coding RNA of Haplochromis burtoni (Burton's mouthbrooder), 789 nucleotides long. RefSeq lists it as uncharacterized. The transcript has 3 exons. The record is from RefSeq and is a predicted model, not a curated record. NCBI's taxonomy places the organism in Eukaryota, Metazoa, Chordata, Actinopteri, Cichliformes, Cichlidae.
UAUUUUUCAGGUUGCUCAGAUGAACAGACUUUCGAGACGAAGACUGUUUACGUUGGGGAGAAUAUUAACCUGACGUGCCCCCGUAGAGAUGUAGGAACCUUCUUUUGGCUCAAGUUUGUUUCUGGAGACUUUCCUAAAAUCUUAGGAAGAUCAUUUAGCUCUCAGAGUGCUGAUCAGCACAUUAGAACUGUAACAGAUCCUGGAAUAUUUGAUCUGUAUAUUACAAAAGCACAGCAGAGUGAUACAGGAGUUUACAUCUGUAUGAAAACAGUAAAUCGAGAACUAACAUUUUUGAAUGGAACCUACUUAAAAGUUGAAGGACCAGAGCCUCCUUUCACUACAACUCCUCCAUCUGAUCCUGUCCAUCAGGAACACACAGUAACUCUCCAGUGUUCGGUCUUUCAUGACUUCCUGAAUAAAACAUGUCCAGUACAUGACAACGUGUUCUGUUUGAGUGCAGAACCACAUCAAUCUCACUUGGAUUCUAAUUGUGCUCAUGUAAAUGGUGCAGAUGAAUAUGAAAGGAACUCAGAGGGACUCUCAACAAAAACAUGUUUCUACAGCUACCUCAGAAACUCCAGCUCUUCUGAUUCACAGAUGUAUUACUGUGCCGUGGCCACAUGUGUGGAGUCUUUUUCUCGAAAUAAAACAAAAGCCGAUACUGAUGCAGUCAACAAGACUAAUUCAAUGAAGGACAAUGCACUUCUCUAUCUGUUAUGUGUUGCUUUGGCUGUAACCCUGAUUGUUAUAGCCUCUCUAAUCUAUUCAGUCAAGAACAAUAGCUCAUGU